UUCAAAUAUUUAUUUAUAGAAUUUUUUUAUAAGUAAAUAAUCAUAUGGAAUAUCUCAUUAGGAUGUUUGAUGGUCGGCAACUACGCGCCUGAAAUAAUGAUUGGAGGGAGGUUAGCUCGCUAGAUUUCACGUAGCGAACCAUUUUAUCUGUGCUUAAUCUUAAACGAGCGUCAUGCGCAGUGGAACGGAAGUAGAGAAUGAAGUGCUCUAAACCAUAUUUGGACAAAAGUGGCUUAGAGCUGUUGUACUAACCGAUGUAAUACACAUUAGAUUUUGUAGGGGGCGUGAUUCCAUUCACUCCCACUAAACAUGACAUUUUAAACUUGCCUUAACAUGUUCGGGUUAUAAAAUAGAUAUUACCUA
This 363-nucleotide unclassified non-coding RNA is filed under the name Moritella viscosa. RNAcentral describes it as "putative sRNA". The record is from RNAcentral. Lineage: Bacteria; Pseudomonadati; Pseudomonadota; Gammaproteobacteria; Alteromonadales; Moritellaceae.